UAAUUUAGGGUGAUGGUAGAAUGCUCGCCUGCCACGCGGGCGACCCGGGUUCGAUUCCCGG
RNAcentral lists this transfer RNA (61 nucleotides) under Diaphorina citri (Asian citrus psyllid). The record is from Rfam by way of RNAcentral. Lineage: Eukaryota; Metazoa; Arthropoda; Insecta; Hemiptera; Psyllidae.